This 254-nucleotide ribosomal RNA is filed under the name uncultured bacterium. RNAcentral's name for it is "partial 16S ribosomal RNA". It matches the Rfam family "Bacterial small subunit ribosomal RNA", at positions 524 to 776 of the family's 1533-position model. The record is from RNAcentral.
UACGUAGGGCGCAAGCGUUGUCCGGAAUUAUUGGGCGUAAAGAGCUCGUAGGCGGUCUGUCGCGUCUGUUGUGAAAACUCGAGGCUCAACCUCGGGCUUGCAGUGGAUACGGGCAGACUAGAGUGCGGUAGGGGAGACUGGAAUUCCUGGUGUAGCGGUGGAAUGCGCAGAGUAUCAGGAGGAACACCGAUGGCGAAGGCAGGUCUCUGGGCCGCAACUGACGCUGAGGAGCGAAAGCAUGGGGAGCGAACAGG